GACUGUGCUAAGGUAGCAUAAUAAUUUGUCCCCUAAUUAGGGUCUAGAAUGAACGGUUAAACGAGAUUUUAUCUGUCUCCACAGAGAGACUUUGAACUUUAAAUUUAAGUGAAAAUGCUUAAAUGGUUCAGGAGGACGAGAAGACCCUAUAGAUUUUCAUAGUAAAAUCGCUAAUGAUCGCGGUAUUUAUUAUUUACCUGGGAAGGGGUCCAUAAAUCGAACUAUGAUUAAUUUACAAUCGGUAUGAUGAGAAUCAAGUCGAUCUGGAGAUCCGAAAUUUAGAUAAAUUACCUUAGGGAUAACAGCAUGA
Molecule: ribosomal RNA, 310 nt
Filed under: Haematopinus phacochoeri
Lineage: Eukaryota; Metazoa; Arthropoda; Insecta; Psocodea; Haematopinidae
Description: partial 16S ribosomal RNA
Rfam family: Archaeal large subunit ribosomal RNA
Source: RNAcentral